RNAcentral lists this long non-coding RNA (632 nucleotides) under Capra hircus (goat). Its description in RNAcentral is "lncRNA (ENSCHIG00000000622.1)". The record is from RNAcentral. Lineage: Eukaryota; Metazoa; Chordata; Mammalia; Artiodactyla; Bovidae.
AGAAAGACAGUGAAAAACAUAUGUAUGAAUACAUACUAUGCGAGUAGACUGAGAAGACUUUUGAGCUCUUUCAGACUCAGUAGGACACAGCUGUACUGAUGUUCAUCUCAAUUAAUAGAGUGAAGAAGCUUUAUCUUUAUUCAGUGCGAAGCAGCUGCCAAGAGACAUGGCCUUUGAGAGAGAGGAAAUAAUGGGAAAGUUAACAUAUGUCAUCAAAGGAGAAUCACUUCCUGCUACCCUCAGCUCAGUCUCAAUCACCCCAAAUAUCAGGUAUUUAUGACCUGCUUCUCAUAGUCCCAAGUUUGUUUGGCUUCUAUUUACUUCCUCACUUCAAGAUACUUAAUUUUGCGUGUUGGCUUCGUGACCCACUUUGGACACCUUACUUUGGCUCUCCACUACAGCCAAUGUCCACUCCUUUCCUGGCCUCCCCUUCAAGAAAUCACAAUUUAAUCUUCACAUAAGAGAUGCCUCUAUACAGUUCUAAUCAUUCACUCUACGAGUUACACAGUCAAGAAAAAUAAGCAAAUCACUAUAAAGAGCUUCUGUGUCUCCAUGGUCAAAAGAUGAUCUAGCCAUUCCCUCUAGGGUCUAUAAUGUUUCUUCUUCUUCUCCAAGGUCACACUAGGCAGGGA